RNAcentral lists this ribosomal RNA (497 nucleotides) under uncultured bacterium. RNAcentral describes it as "partial 16S ribosomal RNA". It matches the Rfam family "Bacterial small subunit ribosomal RNA", at positions 28 to 507 of the family's 1533-position model. The record is from RNAcentral.
GAUGAACGCUGGCGGCGUGCCUAAUACAUGCAAGUCGAGCGAACAGACGAGGAGCUUGCUCCUCUGACGUUAGCGGCGGACGGGUGAGUAACACGUGGAUAACCUACCUAUAAGACUGGGAUAACUUCGGGAAACCGGAGCUAAUACCGGAUAAUAUAUUGAACCGCAUGGUUCAAUAGUGAAAGACGGUUUUGCUGUCACUUAUAGAUGGAUCCGCGCCGCAUUAGCUAGUUGGUAAGGUAACGGCUUACCAAGGCAACGAUGCGUAGCCGACCUGAGAGGGUGAUCGGCCCCCCUGGAACUGAGACACGGUCCAGACUCCUACGGGAGGCAGCAGUAGGGAAUCUUCCGCAAUGGGCGAAAGCCUGACGGAGCAACGCCGCGUGAGUGAUGAAGGUCUUCGGAUCGUAAACCUCUGUUAUUAGGGAAGAACAAAUGUGUAAGUAACUAUGCACGUCUUGACGGUACCUAAUCAGAAAGCCACGGCUAACUACGUG